Molecule: ribosomal RNA, 281 nt
Filed under: Staphylococcus aureus
Lineage: Bacteria; Bacillati; Bacillota; Bacilli; Caryophanales; Staphylococcaceae
Description: partial 16S ribosomal RNA
Rfam family: Bacterial small subunit ribosomal RNA
Source: RNAcentral
UUUUAUGGAGAGUUUGAUCCUGGCUCAGGAUGAACGCUGGCGGCGUGCCUAAUACAUGCAAGUCGAGCGAACGGACGAGAAGCUUGCUUCUCUGAUGUUAGCGGCGGACGGGUGAGUAACACGUGGAUAACCUACCUAUAAGACUGGGAUAACUUCGGGAAACCGGAGCUAAUACCGGAUAAUAUUUUGAACCGCAUGGUUCAAAAGUGAAAGACGGUCUUGCUGUCACUUAUAGAUGGAUCCGCGCUGCAUUAGCUAGUUGGUAAGGUAACGGCUUACCA